Long non-coding RNA from Myotis daubentonii (Daubenton's bat), 3803 nucleotides. RefSeq lists it as uncharacterized. The record is from RefSeq and is a predicted model, not a curated record. NCBI's taxonomy places the organism in Eukaryota, Metazoa, Chordata, Mammalia, Chiroptera, Vespertilionidae.
CCCGUGCCUUCUGUGCCAGAGAUGAGGGUGUGUUUGAGCAAACUUCUUAUUGACGAGAGGGUUGGCAAACGAGGAGGAGGCAUUGGGCACAGAGAACCAGGAGUACUGAGUAGAAGGCCUUCCUGCGGUGCUCCACUCUUCAUCAGUCACCCUGGAUGUUCUCUUCACUGUGGGAUGAGGUAGUAGGUUGUAUAGUUUUAGGGUCACACCCACCACUGGGAGAUAACUAUACAAUCUACUGUCUUUCCUAACGUGAUAGGAAAGUCUGCAUCCUUGCGGCCUCAUAGGAAGUUGAAAGCUAAUUGUACAAUAUAUUUAAGAUUAACUUGUGUAAAAUUGCUGUAGUGCACCAUUUCUUUAUGGCGUACAAGUUGCUUAUUCUUUUAGAGACUACAAACUUUAGCCAGUAGACUGUAUGGAGAUACUUUUGCUUAUUUCUGUAUAUCACAAUAACUGUAUUCUUUAUUUAGAUUGAUGCUGAUAAUUUUAUGUUGCAUUUUAUUUUGAAAAAGAUUGUGCUCUCCAUUCCAAAAGAAAAGAUUGCUCUAUCAGAGUGAGGUAGUAGAUUGUAUAGUUGUGGGGUAGUUAUUUUACCCUGUUCAGGAGAUAACUAUACAAUCUAUUGCCUUCCCUGCGGAGUAGACUUGCUGCAUUUUUUAUAUAUAUAUAUAGAUAGAUGAUAUUGAAACUCAAAAGAAUUAAUUUUGACAAUGUUUUAUAUUUACAGGUUUUUUUUAUGCCAGUUGCUAAUUUUCUCUGGGUAUAGUGUACCUAUAGUAGUCAUUGAUUUAACAUUUAUCACAUGUAUAUUUCAGAAAUUGGAAAGUAAUCAAAAAUCUGAAAGUUGUGUAGAAAAUUUCAGGCAAUUUUAAUAGGAGAGCAGACCUGUCCAAAGGAAUUGUGAAUAGGCUUGUCACCCUACAACCUGCUUUACAUGUCUGUGGAGGUCCUGGGUGAUAAAGGUAAAUAUGGAAUCGAAAGACACUGUUUGAGCUAAAAUGGAGUUAGAUUGUUUAUGAUUCAUUCUCCCUGGUUUGGGGUGGCCUUGGGCAGUGUUGUUAACCACUGCUCCACUGGUGUGAUGGUUUGGAUGGCUUCAUCUCUCCAGCCUGGAAAAGGAGAGUUGGGUUCUGUCCCCUGGUAAGUCACAAAGACUUGAGCUUUGUCCCCCAAAUCUGAAGUGGUCCUUUAUUCACAACGGGGGUGGUCCCCUGAUCCCCUGAAGCUGUCACAUGGGGAAAUACAUAGAGUGUUGUUUUAAAGAAAACGUGAGGGUAAUGCUAGAAAGGGCCACUUGAUUUUUAACACCCAUAAAGGCUCAUGUUUUGUUUUGUUUUGUUUUAUUUAUAAUAUUUUUAUUGAUUUCAGAGAGGAAGGGAGAGGAGAGAGAUAGAAACAUCAAUGAUGAGAGAGAAUCAUUGAUCGGCUGCCUCCUGCACGCCCCACACUGGGGAUCAAGCCCACAACCUGGGUAUGUGCCCCAACCGGGAAUCGAAUCUUGACCUCCUGGUUCAUAGGUUGAUGCUCAACUACUGAGCUACACUGGCUGGGCAAGGCUCAUGUUUUAGCUUUUUUCCAGUGGUCAAACCAUACGUUUCCUUGGGUUUUUAUAAUCAAUCAAGGCUAAAAGCUCCCUGUUUUAAGUACUUGAUGUUUUUAUUUUUGUUUUCAGAGAAGAAAAAGGAAAAUGUGGAGGUGCAUGAGAGGUCACCUCUUCCCAAAUAUUUACAUUUAUCCUGAAUCUUGGUGUCUGACGGCAAUUCUCAACUGGUGUGCUGUAAGAAUUUUUAAAACGUGCAACAUCUGACUAUUUAGUCAGGGCACUGACUUCUUUUCCCCUAGAUGGUUAAGUUAAAAAAAAAAAUUGCAAUAGCCAACACAAUAAAUCUUUGGUGUGAAUGAAUCAAAAUUGUACCUUUUUUGUGUGUGUGUCAGAACGGCAAAAAAAUCUAUUUUUUGCUGUGCUGCAGAAUUUUAGUAACUAAUUUAUGUGUGCCAUGAGGAGAAAAAGGUUGACAAUUGCUGAUCUAAGACGACAGUGCAGUGCCAUUCCCAGCAGGAACUUCGAAUGAGAGAAAACAUCAAAUUCUCUCUUUGAUGGGUCCAACCCAGGUGAUUUAUCUGGGCCAAAUUAAUGCUUUUUGUUUCAUCCCUAGCAUAGAUGGACAAGUGCAUGAUCCAGAAUUGUGUGUUUUUUUUUGUUAUAAACUUGAACAUACAAAAAUUGGGGGGGUGGGGGAGUGGGGGACUAAAAGGUGCCAAAGAAAAGUGGGAAAGUUUGAGAAGUUCUCUUCGACUUAAAUCUUGACACCUGCUUGUGUGGCAAGUACAGUCACGACGUUUUGUGCUUUUCUGACACGUGCUGCCUCCACUGUGGCUAUCAUCUUCACUCUGCCUUUGAAAACUCAUCCUUAUCUUAAACUAAGGUCUGAAGAAAAAUGAAUUUAUUUUAUUAAUUACAUAAGGACCCAUUUCAUACACCUACUAGCCAAAUCCCAGUAAGUGAAUCAAAUUAUGGAGAACUGCUAUAUUUUGUAAAAGCAUUUAAAAGUACCUUUGUGGAAAGUGAUAGUGUCUAAAAGCUUGUUUUUGAUAGCAACAAAAAGGUGAUCACAAUUCGCUUCUGUUUAUUAUAAUUAAAAGAUUAAAAACUCAAAAUAACUGGGCUCAAGGGCUGGCUGUAACCUAGGGAACGUGGCUUCUAAGGGGGACUGGUAGUAAGUUAAAUUGUUCCAGUUGGCUACAGGCAGGAUUUAUACAUAGUGUCACCUAAUUUUUCACCUUAUCAAGAGGUAAGUUUUAUGAAAUUUGAUAUUUAAAUUUUGGUAAUACAUUAAAUGUUUUUAAAAGUUGGUAGCUCCAACAAUAUAAGGUGGACUAGAUAUUAGGCUUCUGGUUUGCAUUCCUCUGAUGUAAUUGAAUUUUUGUUUCUUUGUAACAAGAGGUUUGAUUUUAAGCAUUUAAGAUCCUACUACCGACCAGUAUCAUUUUAAAGCACCAAUGAAAGUUCUGAUUGGUUUAACUUUGGGGGUAAAAAACCAAAGCCUAAUUUAACAGGUUAUUUUGAAGUGCCUCUGCCAGGCAGAAGACUGGCAAGAAAAAAAAGGGGGGUUCCUAGGAAGAGGUAGUAGGUUGCAUAGUUUUAGGGCAGGGAUUUUGCCCACAAGGAGGUAACUAUACGACCUGCUGCCUUUCUUAGGGCCUUAUUAUUCCACGGUAACCUGUUUCCUUGCCACCUUGUUUUGGUUUAAGUGGAGUUCUUUCUGCAGGUUUUCUUACAAGUUAAAAUAUUUCUUACAAAGGAAACAGCCUGCUUUCAUAAUUUAUAAUCAGCAGCAUGGUAUCAACAUCAAUUAGUAAAAGCCAACUAAUGAGGAUUUAAGACUUCUGAAGUAAACCUAGUUGCUUAUUUGUCUCACUUUGGGGUCGCUGGAAAGUUUUGGAAAGCAUUAGCUUUUUGGGGGGAGAGGGGCAAGUUCUCAUCUGAUCUAGAGUGCCAGAUGUUUCCCCCUCGUCUAUUACACCUGAAAGAAAGACAUUUGAUAAAACUAUUGAAAUAUUUGUUCCCUACACUGUAUUUGUAAAUAUUUAUCUUGCUCAAUUCCUGGGUUUGUCUUCUGAUCUUAAAAUUUGGCACGGUUCUUAGGGUGGUAUUGCGUAUUAUGGAAAUGUAUCAUUUCAUUGAGUGAGCAUUAUGGUAUGUAAGUCUGUGAUUGAAUUUGUUAAAUGUGUGUAACGGCUGGACAAUGGAGUUGUUAUAAUUUGUUAAACACCUUUUCAAUAAAAAUACUUUUACUUUAAAA